UUAUCCUCCGCACUGCGGAGGGCCUCAUCCAGUCAGUCAAAGGCCCUCAGAGCAAAGACUGUGGUUCCCCAAGUAGAAUGAAUUCCUCUCAGGACUGUGACACAGAAAGCCCACCUGAGCUUCUAGCCUGAAGAAUUCAGACUGACAAAUGCAACUUCCUCAUCUACUGAACCUCCAGCCUCCCUGCUGCCCUGCAAAUAUCAUACUUGCCAGCCCCCACAAUCAGGGAAACCGAGGCACGAGAAGCUAACUUUCCGAGGCUGCCCAGCUGGUAAGCAGCAGAGCCAAGCUUCCCGCUUGGCCAGCGAGCUCCAGAGUCCCUGUCCUCAAAUCAGAAGCUGCAUGGCACAGUGACGCCAAGAAAACAACCUGGAGGGCCCAGGCUGGCAGAAGUCGGGGGGGGGGGCAAGGACAAGGAGGAAGCCAAAAGCUAAGAACAAAGUCAGACGGACACCGAGGCAGAAGCCGGGAAAGCAGAGCAUGGUCACCAAUUGUUGGGGACAUGCUCUGAGUGAGAGGGUUUGAGAACUGCCACUCGCGGGCCGGGGACUGCUCGCUCUAAAGGUGUCUCAGGCUGAAAUCCAGCUAGACCUCUGCUCCAAGUCAGGGGCUGCGGCACAAAACACGGAUCUUUGCUCUUUCUGUCCACAGCAGCCCUCAGCCCACCCCAAGACAGCAGCAGAGAAGCGACCCAGGUAGGGGCUGCGGUCAGUGGGUGGAGCCUCUGGUUUCCUAGGGAAGUCAGACCUGCUGGUUGCCAUUUUCUCCAUAAAUUUCUCCCAUGAAAGUCAAAUAUCUGCAUUAACUAAAUUUUUGAUAUUUUAUGGAUUGGUUCCACAAAAAAAGCACUUAAACAGCCCUUUCUGCUGACUUCCAAAUUCCUAUCUCACCUCCCUCUCAUCUUCAAUUAAAGUUUAUCAUCCUCUGUGUAAA
This is a long non-coding RNA of Cebus imitator (Panamanian white-faced capuchin), 933 nucleotides long. RefSeq lists it as uncharacterized. NCBI's taxonomy places the organism in Eukaryota, Metazoa, Chordata, Mammalia, Primates, Cebidae. The transcript has 2 exons. The record is from RefSeq and is a predicted model, not a curated record.